AUUGAACGCUGGCGGCAUGCUUUACACAUGCAAGUCGAACGGUAACAGGGUGCUUGCACCGCUGACGAGUGGCGAACGGGUGAGUAAUGCGUCGGAACGUGCCGAGUAGUGGGGGAUAACGCAGCGAAAGUUGUGCUAAUACCGCAUACGUACUGAGGUAGAAAGUGGGGGACCUUCGGGCCUCACGCUAUCCGAGCGGCCGACGUCUGAUUAGCUAGUAGGUGAGGUAAAGGCUCACCUAGGCGACGAUCAGUAGCGGGUCUGAGAGGAUAAUCCGCCACACUGGGACUGAGACACGGCCCAGACUCCUACGGGAGGCAGCAGUGGGGAAUUUUGGACAAUGGGCGAAAGCCUGAUCCAGCCAUGCCGCGUGUCUGAAGAAGGCCUUCGGGUUGUAAAGGACUUUUGUCAGGGAGGAAAUCCCUAGUGCUAAUAACACUGGGGGAUGACAGUACCUGAAGAAUAAGCACCGGCUAACUACGUGCCAGCCGCCGCAGUAA
RNAcentral lists this ribosomal RNA (500 nucleotides) under uncultured bacterium. RNAcentral's name for it is "partial 16S ribosomal RNA". It matches the Rfam family "Bacterial small subunit ribosomal RNA", at positions 30 to 523 of the family's 1533-position model. The record is from RNAcentral.